Molecule: ribosomal RNA, 467 nt
Filed under: uncultured bacterium
Lineage: Bacteria
Description: partial 16S ribosomal RNA
Rfam family: Bacterial small subunit ribosomal RNA
Source: RNAcentral
GACGAACGCUGGCGGCGUGCUUAACACAUGCAAGUCGAACGGAAAGGCCUCUUUCGGGGGGUACUCGAGUGGCGAACGGGUGAGUAACACGUGAGUAACCUGCCCUUGACUUUGGGAUAACUUCCGGAAACUGGGGCUAAUACCGGAUAGGAGCUCCUGCUGCAUGGUGGGGGUUGGAAAGUUUCGGCGGCUGGGGAUGGACUCGCGGCUUAUCAGCUUGUUGGUGGGGUAGUGGCUUACCAAGGCUUUGACGGGUAGCCGGCCUGUGAGGGUGACCGGCCGCAUUGGGACUGAGAUACGGCCCAGGCUCCUACGGGAGGCAGCAGUGGGGAAUAUUGCACGAUCGGUGGAAGCCGGAUGCAGCAACGCCGUGUGCGGGAUGACGGCCUUCUGGUUGGAAACCGCUUUCGCUCAUGACGAAGCUUUGUGUGACGGUAGUGGGUAAAGAAGCACCGGCUAACUACGUG